UUUAUUCUGGUUAGAUGAAGCUGGGGCAGGGUUAACACAUGCAAGUGAUCGGAUGAGUGGAGCUUGUUCCAUGAUUCAGCGGCGGACGGGUGAGUAAUGCCUAGGAAUCUGCCUGGUAGUGGGGGACAACGUUUCGAAAGGAACGCUAAUACCGCAUACGUCCUACGGGAGAAAGCAGGGGACCUUCGGGCCUUGCGCUAUCAGAUGAGCCUAGGUCGGAUUAGCUAGUAGGUGAGGUAAUGGCUCACCUAGGCGACGAUCCGUAACUGGUCUGAGAGGAUGAUCAGUCACACUGGAACUGAGACACGGUCCAGACUCCUACGGGAGGCAGCAGUGGGGAAUAUUGGACAAUGGGCGAAAGCCUGAUCCAGCCAUGCCGCGUGUGUGAAGAAGGUCUUCGGAUUGUAAAGCACUUUAUCGUUCGGGA
RNAcentral lists this ribosomal RNA (427 nucleotides) under Pseudomonas sp. '7.3 MW-15'. RNAcentral's name for it is "bacterial SSU rRNA". It matches the Rfam family "Bacterial small subunit ribosomal RNA", at positions 39 to 447 of the family's 1533-position model. The record is from RNAcentral. Lineage: Bacteria; Pseudomonadati; Pseudomonadota; Gammaproteobacteria; Pseudomonadales; Pseudomonadaceae.